This 331-nucleotide ribosomal RNA is filed under the name uncultured eukaryote. RNAcentral's name for it is "partial 18S ribosomal RNA". It matches the Rfam family "Eukaryotic small subunit ribosomal RNA", at positions 1470 to 1796 of the family's 1831-position model. The record is from RNAcentral.
CCCUUAGAUGUUCUGGGCUGCACGCGCGCUACACUGAUGCGUUCAACGAGUUUAUGACCUUGCCCGAUAGGGUUGGGUAAUCUUUUUAAAUCGCAUCGUGAUGGGGAUAGAUUAUUGCAAUUAUUAAUCUUCAACGAGGAAUUCCUAGUAAGCGCGAGUCAUCAGCUCGUGCUGAUUACGUCCCUGCCCUUUGUACACACCGCCCGUCGCUCCUACCGAUUGAAUGGUCCGGUGAAAUGUUCGGAUCGCGGCAAAUCGGACGGGUAACCGUCAGGUUCGCUGCGAGAAGUUCAUUAAACCUUAUCAUUUAGAGGAAGGAGAANUCGUAGCA